UACGGAAGGCAGCAGUGGGGAAUAUUGCACAAUGGGCGCAAGCCUGAUGCAGCCAUGCCGCGUGUAUGAAGAAGGCCUUCGGGUUGUAAAGUACUUUCAGUCGUGAGGAAGGUGUUAAGGUUAAUAACCUUAGCAAUUGACGUUAGCGACAGAAGAAGCACCGGCUAACUCCGUGCCAGCAGCCGCGGUAAUACGGAGGGUGCGAGCGUUAAUCGGAAUUACUGGGGCGUAAAGGGCACGCAGGCGGUUAAUUAAGUUGGAUGUGAAAUCCCCGGGCUUAACCUGGGAAUGGCAUUCAAGACUGGUUAGCUAGAGUCUUGUAGAGGGGGUAGGAAUUCCAUGUGUAGCGGUGAAAUGCGUAGAGAUGUGGAGGAAUACCGGUGGCGAAGGCGGCCCCUCGGACAAAGACUGACGCUCAUGUGCGAAAGCGUGGGGAGCAAACAGGAUUAGAUACC
Molecule: ribosomal RNA, 455 nt
Filed under: uncultured bacterium
Lineage: Bacteria
Description: bacterial SSU rRNA
Rfam family: Bacterial small subunit ribosomal RNA
Source: RNAcentral